GCCGGGCGUGGUGGCACACACCUGUAAUCCCAGCUACUCAGGAGGCUGAGGCAGGAGAAUUGCUUGAACCCAGGAGGCAGAGGUUGCAGUGAGCCAAGGUUGGCCGCUGCACUCCAGCCUGGGCAAGAGAGCAAGAUUUUGUCUCAA
Molecule: unclassified non-coding RNA, 147 nt
Organism: Pongo abelii (Sumatran orangutan)
Lineage: Eukaryota; Metazoa; Chordata; Mammalia; Primates; Hominidae
Rfam family: Metazoan signal recognition particle RNA
About the family: The signal recognition particle (SRP) is a universally conserved ribonucleoprotein. It is involved in the co-translational targeting of proteins to membranes. The eukaryotic SRP consists of a 300-nucleotide 7S RNA and six proteins: SRPs 72, 68, 54, 19, 14, and 9.
Source: Ensembl